AACCCAUGUUGAGGGCACCCAUGUAGUAGGUCUUUGUAUCUCUCCCAUGUAUCAUAAAGUGUUUCUAAAUCCAUCUGCACAAAAGAAGAGAUAUCAUUCCUCAACUU
Non-coding RNA from Gossypium arboreum, 107 nucleotides. NCBI's taxonomy places the organism in Eukaryota, Viridiplantae, Streptophyta, Magnoliopsida, Malvales, Malvaceae. The record is from Rfam.